Neofelis nebulosa (Clouded leopard) is the source of this 1832-nucleotide long non-coding RNA. RefSeq lists it as uncharacterized. The transcript is spliced from 2 exons. The record is from RefSeq and is a predicted model, not a curated record. Lineage: Eukaryota; Metazoa; Chordata; Mammalia; Carnivora; Felidae.
AAGGAAGGAGAACUCUCUCCGGCACCUUCCACCUAAAGCCUGUGUCUUACGGAGGUCAUAAGUGGUGGAGAUCAUCUCGGAGCACUGAGCGAGCAUCACCCUAUUUGGUGCAUCAGCUACACAGAGAUUUGACAGGCAGCAGGUACAAAGGUUAAACUUGAUUGAACAAAAUAAGACAAAAAGCAGAAUGAUGACCCAGUUUGCGUAGUAGCCCUAAACCGAGAGCUCACACCUGAAGGUAGCCAGCUAAAUAGAUCUAAGGCUCAUAGGUCAUUAGGCAGAAUUCUUUGCAGCCAAAGUGCUUAUUCUCUGGUUUAUGCAGGUAGGUAUUUACUUCCCCAGAGGAAUUUAUCCACGUGUAGCAGGUGGUAUUCACUCUUGUCCAGACUCCUCCUUGUUCAGCCAGUAGAUAAUCAAGGGCUGUGCCAUUAUCCAUAAUUACUGUAGCCAAAGAGUCCAGUGAUCAUUGUUGGGCUGUUAGUGCUUUGGUUGUGGGGCCAGCUAGCUCUCCUAAUGUUUGGGAAAGAUUCCCGAUCUUGCAUUGGUUGGCAUUUCCUCCAAUGUAUGGGAGAAAGUCUCUGCCCAGGGAGGAAAACCAGAGUCAUAUAUGUGUCCUGGAAGUUCCCAUGUAGCAGCCAUGGAGGCUCAAUGGAGUGGACAGGACGGGAGGCUUCUCAUUUGGUAUGCAUAUUAACAGGGACAGUGAAAUGUUCCAGUGAGCAUUGACCUCCAAGUGGCCAGCUGCCAACUUUCAUAUGCCCUUGAGAAAUGCUGUCCAGAACAAACACAAAUGGAACCAGGUGGAGCCUCGGGGAUGCCAGCUCAGGUCUGGUUAUUGAUAGAUUCACUAGCCGAAUGUCCUGACUGACCCUUUCAAGUUAUAGCUCAGAAAGUUUGAGGUGACAUUCUGUGAGAGAUUAUUCCCUCCUAAAGGGAUUUUUUUUUCUAAAAACCUCACAGAGGAGUCUAGACCUGGUUUUUUCCCCCUGGGUGCAGGGAAACAGAUUGUAUUUAGGUAAGGAAAAGAUGCGGGGAAUGAGGGAAGGGGGGCUGACAGAGGCUGAGGUGUUUAGCUGAGCUGGCCCGGUUACAACUGGGGAAAGGCUGAAACAAGCAUGGGAACACCUGGCCGUAACAACCUAACCCGACAGGUAACCUCCAUGGGCUUAUAGGAUUGCGGGUGAUCAUCUCCCAUGCUUGGAUCCUUGGUCUCAGGCCACAGUGUUUGGCAGAAAUCAGUAAUUUUUCAGAACAUUGGAAGGUGCCCACCACUGGCACUAGUGUAUUUUUGUCACUUCAAAGCACCUGUGGGCAGUCCUUUGCUUUCCUUAGGGUCUGCUUUUCCACAGACGCUUUCCUCUGCUGCUUUAUUGCCACUUACAUUAAAUACAGUAUAUGACAAUAGUUUAUUAAUGCUGUACUGUAGUCAACAUCUGUGUGAGCGUAUACAAUGGCCCCCAUGCAGAAAAAGGUUGAAAAGAAAGGCAGUAAGAAGGAGAUGAUUACGGUGCAAGUUAAGAAGGAAAUCAUGGAGAAGUACGAACGAGGUAUGCGCGUGGCCGAAAUUGCGGGAUUUUAUAAGUCUACGUCUGCAUUUCGUCUGCAGAGGGAGAGGAGAAAAAGAUGGAGGAACCCCUCACUUCAGAGGAGAUUAGGGAGAUGUGUAAAAUGUGGGGAACAGUGCAAAAUUUUGUAGAAAGGCACCACCGCAUAAGGCUGUCGCAGUGCGAGCGAUGAAUCUGUUUAAUGCCAAUGUCACAUUUCCGCGAACUCCUCCAAAGGAGGCAAAAGCAGGCGUCGUUGGAUAGGUUCCUUGUUAAAGCUGCAUCAAG